AGAAAAACAAAACCCGGCGCGUCGCCUGGGCAAUGGGUAAACCUCAGGAACUCUUAGGCUGAGGUGCUUGAAAUCUCUUAGGUUGAGGUGCUUGAAAGCGCUUACGCGUCGAAAAGGAACUAUCUGCCAACCUAGUGAAGUGUCGACGGAAUCUUGAAGUGAUGAGGUAGUUAAAGCGCAGAAGACGAAUCCAAGUUUCAUAAUUCCCAGGCUGAAUCUCUAACAGUACAUCAUGAGAAACUCUGGGCUGAAAGAAGCACAAGCUGGAAUCAGGAUUGCCGGGAGAAAUAUCAAUAACCUCAGAUAUGCAGAUGACACCACCCUUAUGGC
Bos taurus (domestic cattle) is the source of this 330-nucleotide long non-coding RNA. The record is from Ensembl. Lineage: Eukaryota; Metazoa; Chordata; Mammalia; Artiodactyla; Bovidae.